Molecule: ribosomal RNA, 717 nt
Filed under: uncultured archaeon
Lineage: Archaea
Description: bacterial SSU rRNA
Rfam family: Archaeal small subunit ribosomal RNA
Source: RNAcentral
GGAUGUGGCUGCGGCCGAUUAGGUUGACGGUGGGGUAACGGCCCACCGUGCCAAUAAUUGGAACAGGUUGUGAGAGCAAGAACCUGGAGACGGCNUCUGAGACAAGAUGCCGGGCCUUACGGGGCGCAGCAGGCGCGAAACCUUUACACUGCACGCACGUGCGAUAAGGGGACUCCGAGUGCGAGGGCAUAUCGUCCUCGCUUUUGUGUACCGUAGGGUGGUACACGAACAAGGGCUGGGCAAGACCGGUGCCAGCCGCCGCGGUAAUACCGGCAGCCCGAGUGAUGGCCGAUCUUAUUGGGCCUAAAGCGUCCGUAGCUGGGUCUGAAAGUCCAUCGGGAAAUCCACUCGCUCAACGAGUGGUCGUCCGGUGGAAACUCCACACCUUGGGACCGGAAGGCUCGAAGGGUACGGCCGGGGUAGGAGUGAAAUCCUGUAAUCCCGUCCGGACCACCGAUGGCGAAAGCACUUCGAGGAAACGGAUCCGACAGUGAGGGACGAAAGCUAAGAUCGCGAACCGGAUUAGAUACCCGGGUAGUCUUAGCCGUAAACAAUGUUCGUUAGGUAUGACACAGACUACGCGUCUGUGUUGUGCCGCAGGGAAGCCGAGAAACGAACCGCCUGGGAAGUACGUCUGCAAGGAUGAAACUUAAAGGAAUUGGCGGGGGAGCACUACAACCGGAGGAGCCUGCGGUUUAAUUGGAUUCAACGCCGGAA